This 896-nucleotide ribosomal RNA is filed under the name uncultured archaeon. RNAcentral's name for it is "bacterial SSU rRNA". It matches the Rfam family "Archaeal small subunit ribosomal RNA", at positions 1 to 904 of the family's 1478-position model. The record is from RNAcentral.
UCCGGUUGAUCCUGCCAGAGGCGACCGCUAUUGGAGUUCGAUUAAGCCAUGCGAGUAGAAAGAAAUUAGAUUCUUUGCAUACUGCUCAGUAACACGUGGAUAACCUGCCCUACACUGGGGGAUAAUCUCGGGAAACUGAGGAUAAUACCCCAUAGACCACUACGCCUGGAACGGUGAGUGGUUGAAAGCUCAGGCGGUGUAGGAUGGGUCUGCGGCGUAUCAGGUCGUAGGGGGUGUAAUGGACCUCCUAGCCAUCGACGCGUACGGGUUGUGGGAGCAAUAGCCCGGAGACGGAUUCUGAGACACGAAUCCGGACCCUACGGGGUGCAGCAGGCGCGAAAACUUCACACUGCAGGAAACUGUGACGAGGGAACUCCAAGUGACUGCACAAUGUGUAGCCUUUUCUUGAAUCUUAAUAGUUCUUGGAAUAAGGGCUGGGAAAGACCGGUGCCAGCCGCCGCGGUAAUACCGGCAGCUCAAGUGGUCGUCGCUUUUAUUGGGCCUAAAACGUCCGUAGCCUGUUUGGUAAAUCUGUGGGUAAAUCAACGAGCUUAACUCGUUGAAUUCUGCAGAGACUGCCAGACUAGGGACCGGGAGAGGUAUGAGGUACUCUGGGGGUAGGGGUAAAAUCCUGUCAUCCUCAGAGGACCACCUGUUGCGAAGGCGUCAUACUGGAACGGAUCCGACGGUCAGGGACGAAGCCUAGGGGCACGAACCGGAUUAGAUACCCGGGUAGUCCUAGGUGUAAACGCUGUGGAUUUGGUGUGUGGGGUCCGCAAUGGGCCCCAUGUGCCGGAGUGAAGAUGUUAAAUCCACUGCCUGGGGAGUACGGUCGCAAGGCUGAAACUUAAAGGAAUUGGCGGGGGAGCACUGCAACGGGAGGAGCGUGCGGUUUA